RNAcentral lists this ribosomal RNA (497 nucleotides) under uncultured bacterium. RNAcentral's name for it is "partial 16S ribosomal RNA". It matches the Rfam family "Bacterial small subunit ribosomal RNA", at positions 28 to 507 of the family's 1533-position model. The record is from RNAcentral.
GAUGAACGCUGGCGGCGUGCCUAAUACAUGCAAGUCGAGCGAACAGAUGAGGAGCUUGCUCCUCUGACGUUAGCGGCGGACGGGUGAGUAACACGUGGAUAACCUACCUAUAAGACUGGGAUAACUUCGGGAAACCGGAGCUAAUACCGGAUAAUAUAUUGAACCGCAUGGUUCAAUAGUGAAAGACGGUUUUGCUGUCACUUAUAGAUGGAUCCGCGCCGCAUUAGCUAGUUGGUGAGGUAACGGCUUACCAAGGCAACGAUGCGUAGCCGACCUGAGAGGGUGAUCGGCCACACUGGAACUGAGACACGGUCCAGACUCCUACGGGAGGCAGCAGUAGGGAAUCUUCCGCAAUGGGCGAAAGCUUGACGGAGCAACGCCGCGUGAGUGAUGAAGGUCUUCGGAUCGUAAAACUCUGUUAUUAGGGAAGAACAAAUGUGUAAGUAACUAUGCACGUCUUGACGGUACCUAAUCAGAAAGCCACGGCUAACUACGUG